GAUUAGAUACCCUAGUAUAUAUUUAUAAAAUUAAAUUAGUAUAUUUUGAAAUUUGAAAUUUUUGGCGGUUAUUUAUUGAUUAGAGGAGCUUGUUGAUUUUGGAAUUUGCACUUUAUAUCUAAUUUAUUAAGGUUUAUUCAUCUCUGUUAUAAAAUAAAAGAUUAUAAUAAUAUAUUAUUAAUAUUUCAGGUCAAGAUGUAGCUUUUAUUUAUGAAAAUUAGCUACAUUUAUGAAAAUAUUUGGAUUAUUUUAGGAAAUUUAUAUUUAUGAAAAUGAAUUUAGUUGUAAUGAUAAUUAUAAUAUUUAUUAUGAAGUAAAUUAAAUAGUGUACAGAUUGCCCGUCACUUCUUUUGUAAAAUGGAAUAAGUCGUAACAAAGUA
This 380-nucleotide ribosomal RNA is filed under the name Bugabitia akini. RNAcentral describes it as "partial small subunit ribosomal RNA". Lineage: Eukaryota; Metazoa; Arthropoda; Arachnida; Opiliones; Manaosbiidae. The record is from RNAcentral.